This is a long non-coding RNA of Oreochromis aureus, 515 nucleotides long. Lineage: Eukaryota; Metazoa; Chordata; Actinopteri; Cichliformes; Cichlidae. The record is from Ensembl.
AAAGAUAAACAAAUGCUGGCUGCUUCACAGCUAAAUUAGCAUUUGAAAUAAUUAGACAGUUCAUCUAGGUCUACCUAUUCAGCACAUGACUCUCGAUUCUCCGCUGGAAUCGGGCACAAUUCCAGAACCUGGCACCGCACAUCACCCAGACAACCCAGCUGAACUCAAAGCUGAGUUGAUGCAGUUGAUAGGCAGACCCUAGAAGACCCUGAAGAUGUUGCCAGUCUGUCACAUGGUGAACAAAGAGAGACGAGCAGUCAUCCAUGCACAUAUAUUAACAACUACAGCUGGAAUCACCUAAUAGCCUAACUUGAAUGUCUUUGGACUGUAGGCAGAAUCCAGAAAACCUACAGGGAGAACAACCUCGACAGAGGAGGGCCCCAAACUGGCCAGCAGGUUCAAACCUUGAAACUUUUUGUGGUGAUGUGACAGUUCUAAACGCUGCACCACCCUCCUUGAAGUACAAGGAUGGAGCAGCACAGCAAGGGUAUUACAGAAUAAACUGUAAAGCUUGU